GACGAACGCUGGCGGCGUGCUUAAUACAUGCAAGUCGAACGGUAAGGCCCUUCGGGGUACACGAGUGGCGAACGGGUGAGUAACACGUGGGUGAUCUGCCCUGCACUUCGGGAUAAGCCUGGGAAACUGGGUCUAAUACCGGAUAGGACCACUGCCUACAUGGGUGGUGGUGGAAAGCUUUUGCGGUGUGGGAUGGGCCCGCGGCCUAUCAGCUUGUUGGUGGGGUGAUGGCCUACCAAGGCGACGACGAGUAGCCGGCCUGAGAGGGUGACCGGCCACACUGGGACUGAGAUACGGCCCAGACUCCUACGGGAGGCAGCAGUGGGGAAUAUUGCACAAUGGGCGCAAGCCUGAUGCAGCGACGCCGCGUGAGGGAUGACGGCCUUCGGGUUGUAAACCUCUUUCGGCACCGACGAAGCGCAAGUGACGGUAGGUGCAGAAGAAGGACCGGCCAACUACGUGCCAGCCGCCGCAGUAA
RNAcentral lists this ribosomal RNA (478 nucleotides) under uncultured bacterium. RNAcentral's name for it is "partial 16S ribosomal RNA". It matches the Rfam family "Bacterial small subunit ribosomal RNA", at positions 28 to 523 of the family's 1533-position model. The record is from RNAcentral.